AAGGAAUUUUGGAUGCCAUCUGUUCCAGCCAUUUAGUGAAUAAAAAAACUGAGGCCUAGAGAGGUAGAUUUUCUCAGGUCACAAUCUAGUUCAGAGCAGAACCUGGAAUAAAAGCCCUGGCUUUGAUUCAGGCUCUUGACUUUUUUUCAGGCUUCUUUUGUCUUUAUUAUCACAAGCAGAUGUCAGCUCUGAAGCUGCCUGGUGGUGGAAAUGGGGUGUGGAUGAGCGAUAGAAGCUUUGAGGAGCCCAGCUCGCCAUUUCUCUUUGCAUCUCACCAUCGCAGUCAAAACUUAUCCCAUCUGUGUCUUGGGAGAAGUUGGAAGGAUAUCGCAGCAUUCAAGCAGCCCAGAGGGAAAGGAAGCUCCCAAACUUCGGAUCUGAAAAGGCAGGAGCCAGGCUUGGGGGAAACACACUUACACACUGCACAUCAACAAACAAACAAAUGGCCGGCCAUCUGAGCCAGGCUGGUGCCUCUCUGGAAAGUGAAAAUAUAGCACAGAAUAAGACACUAACAGUUUCCAUAUCUGUGAAACUUGGGUGGUCAACACAGAGACGCCAUCUCACCAUAUUUGUGCUCACCAUUACUUUUCCUUUGAACCUUUUGGAGUCAAGAACUUUGCUGAGGGAAUUCAAGCCUCUUGUGUUCAAGAACUGUAACAUCUCUCUUUUAAGAAACAAAUUCUCUACUAGUACCUAGGACUUUGCUUCUUGUGCAUGGAAUAAAUGUUUAUUGAAUGAAGUGUUGAGUUCUUGG
This 754-nucleotide long non-coding RNA is filed under the name Monodelphis domestica (gray short-tailed opossum). RNAcentral describes it as "lncRNA (ENSMODG00000034708.2)". The record is from RNAcentral. Lineage: Eukaryota; Metazoa; Chordata; Mammalia; Didelphimorphia; Didelphidae.